UGGCUCAGGAUGAACGCUGGCUACAGGCUUAACACAUGCAAGUCGAGGGGAAACGGCAUUGAGUGCUUGCACUGAAUGGACGUCGACCGGCGCACGGGUGAGUAACGCGUAUCCAACCUUCCCGUUACUGCGGGAUAACCUGCCGAAAGGCAGACUAAUACCGCAUGUUYUUCGAUGACGGCAUCAGAUUCGAAGCAAAGAUYCKUCGGUAACGGAGGGGGAUGCGUCUGAUUAGCUAGUUGGCGGGGCGACGGCCCACCAAGGCGACGAUCAGUAGGGGUUCUGAGAGGAAGGUCCCCCACAUUGGAACUGAGACACGGUCCAAACUCCUACGGGAGGCAGCAGUGAGGAAUAUUGGUCAAUGGGCGGAAGCCUGAACCAGCCAAGUAGCGUGCAGGAGGACGGCCCUACGGGUUGUAAACUGCUUUUAUGCGGGGAUAAAGUGAGGGACGCGUCCCUUUUUGCAGGUACCGCAUGAAUAAGGACCGGCUAAUUCCGUGCCAGCAGCCGCGGUAAUACGGAAGGUCCGGGCGUUAUCCGGAUUUAUUGGGUUUAAAGGGAGCGUAGGCCGGGGAUUAAGUGUGUUGUGAAAUGUAGGCGCCCAACGUCUGACUUGCAGCGCAUACUGGUUCCCUUGAGUACGCGCAACGCCGGCGGAAUUCGUCGUGUAGCGGUGAAAUGCUUAGAUAUGACGAAGAACCCCGAUUGCGAAGGCAGCCGGCGGGAGCGCAACUGACGCUGAAGCUCGAAGGUGCGGGUAUCGAACAGGAUUAGAUACCCUGGUAGUCCGCACGGUAAACGAUGGAUGCCCGCUGUCGGCGCCUUGCGCCGGCGGCCAAGCGAAAGCGUUAAGCAUCCCACCUGGGGAGUACGCCGGCAACGGUGAAACUCAAAGGAAUUGACGGGGGCCCGCACAAGCGGAGGAACAUGUGGUUUAAUUCGAUGAUACGCGAGGAACCUUACCCGGGCUUGAAUCGCAGGAGAACGAUACAGAGAUGUUGAGGUCCUUCGGGACUCCUGYGAAGGUGCUGCAUGGUUGUCGUCAGCUCGUGCCGUGAGGUGUCGGCUUAAGUGCCAUAACGAGCGCAACCCCUCUCCCCAGUUGCCAUCGGGUGAUGCCGGGCACUCCGGGGACACUGCCGCCGCAAGGUGCGAGGAAGGCGGGGAUGACGUCAAAUCAGCACGGCCCUUACGUCCGGGGCUACACACGUGUUACAAUGGCCGG
Molecule: ribosomal RNA, 1225 nt
Filed under: Prevotella denticola
Lineage: Bacteria; Pseudomonadati; Bacteroidota; Bacteroidia; Bacteroidales; Prevotellaceae
Description: bacterial SSU rRNA
Rfam family: Bacterial small subunit ribosomal RNA
Source: RNAcentral